Long non-coding RNA from Phascolarctos cinereus (koala), 1107 nucleotides. RefSeq lists it as uncharacterized. Lineage: Eukaryota; Metazoa; Chordata; Mammalia; Diprotodontia; Phascolarctidae. The record is from RefSeq and is a predicted model, not a curated record.
UGGUGCCAGGGAGGGUGCGGAGCUGUAGGCACCAGGAAAGACAGCCCUGUCUCAUGGUUCUGCAGGGAGAGAGCACAGGACUCUUGAGGGGCAGGCAUGUGGUUAAUGGGUAACAAAAUGUCUGGGCGCCCCUGGAGCCUUUCCCCACCCUGUGGGGCAGAGGGAAGUGCUUUGCAGAAGGCUUUCCUCUCCUGGUUCUCCCUCUCCAUCUGUUUUGCUUUUUUGGCUCAAUUGCCCCAGAGUUGGGCCUGCUCAUGACCUUGGCUGAUUUCGCAGUCAUUACCAGCUGCUGCCAGAUUUACUGAGGGAAGCUUCGGUUCUCUUCCAGCCAACCCAGGCCUGCUGGUCAGAGCCAAAGGAUCAAGUAACUCCUUCCUCCCAAGUUGGAGCAGGACUCUAUCUCUCUCCCUCUCCUGGAUGGAGGAAGCAGUUUCUCAGGAACUCUCCUGGUGUUGGAGAGCCAAUCUGUGGAGGGGCUAAGUCUCUUCUCUUGUCAGCAGGAAGGUCACCAAAGUUCCAGGCCUGCUGCAAAAAGGGUCCAGCAGCAAAAGUGUUGAGUUGAAGCGAUUUGCCUGGCGGUUGAAGUGAGAUGCCCCAGAGCUCCCGGACUCUGUCACCACCCAGGCCUGUCAGUUUCCACUUUUCCCUCUGUCCAUCUCUUCUAAUGCCUUGGCUUUGGACCCAGAUGGAAGUCUACAGGCAGUGAAUUAUCCAGGAACAUAAGAAAUGGGGCACUUGCCAAAUGCCUCUGAGGCUGAUUAUGCACCUAGCUCCAACCCUAAUCUCUUGGGAAGUCGGGUGCCUUAGAUGAGCCCUGGAAGAUCCUAGAGGUGAUGAGAAAGACCUCCCUGAAGGACAACCAGCUCCCAGACCCUCACUUACACUAUAGCUUCUAUACAGAUAAGGAGUUCAGUUCCUGGGGCUCAGCUGGGUGACCUCAGUAAACAAUUGGGGAUUUAUUUAUGUGUGGCAGCCUCUAAGGUGACUAAAUUUUUCUUUUUCUGAACUAGGUUGUAUAGAAGGUAAUAGCAGUGACCAGACAGUCCAGAGAAUUCUGCCCAGUUGCAAGAUACAAUAAAAAUGUAAAUAAACAUUUUACCUUGUGAA